GUUCGUCUUCAGGGCAGGGUGUAAUUCCCGACCGGUGGUGAUAGUCCACGACCUAUCUUGGUAACAAGAUGGCUGAAUUGGUGAAAUUCCAAUACCGACAGUAAAGUCUGGAUGGAAGAGGAUAGAG
RNAcentral lists this non-coding RNA (127 nucleotides) under Vagococcus lutrae. Its description in RNAcentral is "FMN sequence". It matches the Rfam family "FMN riboswitch aptamer (RFN element)". Rfam says of the family: The RFN element is a highly conserved domain that is found frequently in the 5'-untranslated regions of prokaryotic mRNAs that encode for flavin mononucleotide (FMN) biosynthesis and transport proteins. This element is a metabolite-dependent riboswitch that directly binds FMN in the absence of proteins. RNAcentral also lists the same sequence under 1 other name. Lineage: Bacteria; Bacillati; Bacillota; Bacilli; Lactobacillales; Enterococcaceae. The record is from RNAcentral.